This 838-nucleotide long non-coding RNA is filed under the name Salmo salar (Atlantic salmon). RNAcentral describes it as "lncRNA (ENSSSAG00000090520.1)". The record is from RNAcentral. Lineage: Eukaryota; Metazoa; Chordata; Actinopteri; Salmoniformes; Salmonidae.
CGCUCUGAGGCUGUUGGAGAUUCGAGACUGAAAGUGGAUGCGAUAGACAACAGCUACAGACACGAUUGAAAAGUAGUACAUCUUUUCCAUUUUACAAUGUCUUGAGAACAGAAUGUCCUUGAAACUCUGUGAAGAGAAAGAGUGGAGGAGAGGAGGGUGUAUGAGAGAGAUGAACAGAUGCAAUCAAAGACUCUCAUUCACUUUGAGAAAAAGCUUCCAUUUGAUGUAUCACUCUGUCCAAUACAGUGCUUUAACUCCAGCUGAAUCUGUAAGGAUUACGACUGACACACAAGCACCCAACGCAGCGGGCCAUGUUCAGGAGAAGUGAAUCGCGGAUGAAAAAGGGAGGAUAAAACUGCCUUUUCCUCGCACUGUCAGGCACAGAGGGAGAAGAGAGGGAAGAGAGGGAAGAGGGGGAAUGGGACAGGACAGAAAUGCGUUCGUCGGGGGGGAGGGGAGGAGAGGUAGAAGGCAGGCGUACACUUAAGAGAGCAGGAGAUUCAUUUAGCCAGAAUGGGCUGUCAGAUGUAGCGUGGUUUUAACACAGGAGGGUAGAUGAGGAUAGCCUCCAUGUUGGAUCUCUUUGCUGUGUUUAGCACCACAAGUGGGAUUUUCCACCACUCCCUCUGUUUCACAGAUGCUGCAUUUGAGGAACAGUAGAGCACAGCAAAGGCAGAUAGAGGUAGAUAAACAGCUGUGCUUGGAGGUUGUGUGGGGAAAUGUAUUGGUAUCACUUGCUUUGAGCUACCUGUGUGUAAUGUGUUACAUACAGGUGGUUCACAGACAAUGCUACCACAAUUCUCCCUUUCUUGUUCAUAGAGAAUGAGUUAAAAUUGUG